This 686-nucleotide unclassified non-coding RNA is filed under the name Melitaea cinxia (Glanville fritillary). RNAcentral's name for it is "misc RNA ENSMCXG00005006200.1". Lineage: Eukaryota; Metazoa; Arthropoda; Insecta; Lepidoptera; Nymphalidae. The record is from RNAcentral.
UUUAAUCGAAAGCUGAUGUUUAUCAUGUGGUCACAUAUAAAUUUUAUUGAUAUCUGAUAACUACUUUUUGAGUAAUCUUUGAUAACGCGUAGUUACUUGACUAUUUUUUCGUCGAUCUACGUUGUAUUACUUGUCCAUGUAAUUGAAGUCGUUUACAUCGACGUACCUUUUUUUCGUUUGCGAGCAAACAUAAUUAUAUUACCUACUUUUAAUUUUAAGUUACUUUUUUUACACGUUAUCAGUGUCUUACACCUUUCGAUAACCGUCUGUAAAGAUGUAUAUAUUUAAAACAGUAUGUAGUUUAAAUUAUUAUGUAUUAGAAAAAAAAAUCCAAUAUGUUAACAAAAAAUACAAAAAAAAAUAUCUAAAGGCAAUGCCCACUGUCGUUCUUCUUUUUUACUAGACUGUAAAAUAUUUACGAGUAAAUACAUGAAAUUUGUAAAUUUUAUAUUCAAAAUUAAUUUAUGAUAUAAAAAAAAUGUAUUAAUAUAAUGUUUCAACCAACACUGUUUAAAAAAAAAAUAGGUUUGAGCUUGAGUGGAUGUGUAACAGUACAAAUAAUAAUAUUUUUGCAAUAAAGUGUAAUUAUAAUAUUAAUAUCUAGCAUAAUUAAAAUACUAACAGGUAUAUUUAUUGUGGAUAAAAUACAGGAUUCCAAGCUCCGAUUUUUAAAAAAUUAAAAACAA